RNAcentral lists this ribosomal RNA (381 nucleotides) under Pseudomonas syringae pv. syringae. Its description in RNAcentral is "bacterial LSU rRNA". It matches the Rfam family "Bacterial large subunit ribosomal RNA", at positions 2244 to 2609 of the family's 2925-position model. The record is from RNAcentral. Lineage: Bacteria; Pseudomonadati; Pseudomonadota; Gammaproteobacteria; Pseudomonadales; Pseudomonadaceae.
AUCGAGGACAGUGUAUGGUGGGUAGUUUGACUGGGGCGGUCUCCUCCUAAAGAGUAACGGAGGAGUACGAAGGUGCGCUCAGACCGGUCGGAAAUCGGUCGUAGAGUAUAAAGGCAAAAGCGCGCUUGACUGCGAGACAGACACGUCGAGCAGGUACGAAAGUAGGUCUUAGUGAUCCGGUGGUUCUGUAUGGAAGGNUUCUGUAUGGAAGGGCCAUCGCUCAACGGAUAAAAGGUACUCCGGGGAUAACAGGCUGAUACCGCCCAAGAGUUCAUAUCGACGGCGGUGUUUGGCCCCUCGAUGUCGGCUCAUCACAUCCUGGGGCUGAAGCCGGUCCCAAGGGUAUGGCUGUUCGCCAUUUAAAGUGGUACGCGAGCUGGG